AGCCAAACUAACAGAAUCUUCUGUUAGCUUAAAGGUGAAAUGCCGGAAAGCUGCAAGCAUGAAGAAAGAACCAUGGGGCGAGGAUGAUGAUAAACUGCAUAACCAAACUUGUGAAGAAUGUCAGCAUGGGGUCUCUUACCCAUUGUGAAAUCCCAAUCUCAGACCAGCUCCGCUAGCUACUUGUCUUGCUCCAACUCAAUGAGGUGGCCAUGAGAGCUAGUUGCGUAAGCCAUUGCAAGGAGAGGGAAGUAGCAGGGAGAUGGCUGGACCAGGUUGGGUUUAGGGGCAGCAAGGAGUCACGGCGAGGGCAAGGAUGGAGGCAGGGUGGUGCGAGAGCACGAGGUGGGAGGUGGGAGAGCCAUUCUCCUUUGUCUCUAGUUGUUCC
RNAcentral lists this long non-coding RNA (385 nucleotides) under Setaria viridis. RNAcentral describes it as "long non-coding RNA (SVIR_LNC001566)". Lineage: Eukaryota; Viridiplantae; Streptophyta; Magnoliopsida; Poales; Poaceae. The record is from RNAcentral.